Molecule: small nuclear RNA, 66 nt
Filed under: Meriones unguiculatus (Mongolian gerbil)
Lineage: Eukaryota; Metazoa; Chordata; Mammalia; Rodentia; Muridae
Source: RNAcentral
UCACUUUGCCAGCGCAUAUAUUAAAUUAGAAACAUAAAGAGAAGAUUAGCAUGGUCCCUGCUCAAG